GACGAACGCUGGCGGCGUGCUUAACACAUGCAAGUCGAACGUGAUUUUUAAGGAAAGCCCUUCGGGGAAGGAAUUAAAAUGAAAGUGGCGAACGGGUGAGUAACACGUGAGCAACCUACCUUACACAGGGGGAUAGCCGUUGGAAACGACGAUUAAUACCGCAUGAGACCACAGAAUCGCAUGAUAUAGGGGUCAAAGAUUUAUCGGUGUAAGAAGGGCUCGUGUCUGAUUAGCUAGUUGGAAGGGUAAAGGCCUACCAAGGCGACGAUCAGUAGCCGGUCUGAGAGGAUGAACGGCCACAUUGGAACUGAGACACGGUCCAAACUCCUACGGGAGGCAGCAGUGGGGAAUAUUGCACAAUGGGGGGAACCCUGAUGCAGCGACGCCGCGUGAGCGAAGAAGGUUUUCGAAUCGUAAAGCUCUGUCCUAUGAGAAGAUAAUGACGGUAUCAUAGGAGGAAGCCCCGGCUAAAUACGUGCCAGCAGCCGCGGUAAUACGUAUGGGGCGAGCGUUGUCCGGAAUUAUUGGGCGUAAAGGGUACGUAGGCGGCCUAUUAAGUCAGGUGUGAAAGCGUGAGGCUUAACCUCAUUAAGCACUUGAAACUGGAAGGCUUGAGUGAAGGAGAGGAAAGUGGAAUUCCUAGUGUAGCGGUGAAAUGCGUAGAUAUUAGGAGGAAUACCGGUGGCGAAGGCGACUUUCUGGACUUUUACUGACGCUCAGGUACGAAAGCGUGGGGAGCAAACAGG
RNAcentral lists this ribosomal RNA (746 nucleotides) under uncultured Parvimonas sp. RNAcentral's name for it is "bacterial SSU rRNA". It matches the Rfam family "Bacterial small subunit ribosomal RNA", at positions 28 to 776 of the family's 1533-position model. The record is from RNAcentral. Lineage: Bacteria; Bacillati; Bacillota; Tissierellia; Tissierellales; Peptoniphilaceae.